UGCAAGCUCCUUUAAUACCCUCC
RNAcentral lists this non-coding RNA (23 nucleotides) under Mus musculus (house mouse). The record is from RNAcentral. Lineage: Eukaryota; Metazoa; Chordata; Mammalia; Rodentia; Muridae.